RNAcentral lists this long non-coding RNA (853 nucleotides) under Marmota monax (woodchuck). The record is from RNAcentral. Lineage: Eukaryota; Metazoa; Chordata; Mammalia; Rodentia; Sciuridae.
AUCGGGGACAGUAAAUACAUAUCACUUGUCCUUCACACCUUCUGGCUCCUUCCUUUCCAUGGAGUGAUCCCCUUAGGCCUUACUGUAAAGAGGAUAUGCUGGAGUGGGGAGAGAGGUUGUAUGCUGUGUUUGCUUUUUAUAGGUUUUCUAUCUUUACCCCUGUGAUCAGACUCUCAUGUGUUAUGUCUUGCUGCUUUUAGUGUCUUUUCAUUAGCAGCCUUUUUCUCCCUUAAAUAUGCUGCAUUUAAUCUUACACCAGCUAGAAAACCAGACAAAUGGAUUGUUAGAAGUAUAUAUAAAUUAAGAGUAACUGUGAUCUGAGUGAGAGCCCUAGGGCCUCUCCUGUUGUAUAACGUUGUAAUUCUCAACUGUGGCUGCACAUUAGAAUCACCUGGAGAGCCUUUAAAGCACAUCCGUGCCUAGGUCCCACCCCAGGCCAAUUACAUCAGAUUCUCUGGCAGUGGGGCCCAGGCAUGGAUGUGUUUAAAAACUCCAUGUGUGAUUCUCAUGUGCACUGCUUCUCAGCAGUGGUUGAGUGCACUCGGCUUUGACAGAUCUGGAUUCACUGAAGAGAAGUCUGGUUCUCUCCCAGAAUGUGCCCCAAAUCUAGGAGGUUGCCCCAAGGAGACCAGAUGGUGGGGAGGUUCAGGGGUGCUGCAGCUGCUGUUGUGCUUCAUAAAGAAAGCAGCUCUAGCUGGGCACCUUUAAUCCCAGGGAUUUGGGAGGCUGAGGCAGGAAGAUCCCAAGAUCUGGGCCAGCCUGGGUAAUUUAGUAGGACCUUGUUGCAAAAAAACAAAAAGGAGGGAUGUAGCUCAGUGAUUCAAUCUCCAGCACCAAGAAAAAGAAAGAAAAC